Molecule: ribosomal RNA, 94 nt
Filed under: Escherichia coli
Lineage: Bacteria; Pseudomonadati; Pseudomonadota; Gammaproteobacteria; Enterobacterales; Enterobacteriaceae
Also listed under: 8 other names
Source: RNAcentral
UAGCGCGGUGGUCCCACCUGACCCCAUGCCGAACUCAGAAGUGAAACGCCGUAGCGCCGAUGGUAGUGUGGGGUCUCCCCAUGCGAGAGUAGGA